GGGUCAGUAGGUUGGUCGUGCCACCGGUACGUACUGGUCUCACUGAUUCCUCCUUCCUGAAGAACCGUAAUGCCAUUAAUUUGGUGUUGCGGGGAAACAGGACUGUUACUUCGAAAAAAUUAGAGUGUAUAAAGCAAGCUAACGCUUGAAUACAUUAGCAUGGAAUAAUGAAAUAGGACGAUCGAUCCUAUUUUGUUGGUUUCUAGGAUUGACGUA
Molecule: ribosomal RNA, 216 nt
Filed under: Glomeromycotina sp.
Lineage: Eukaryota; Fungi; Glomeromycota
Description: partial small subunit ribosomal RNA
Rfam family: Eukaryotic small subunit ribosomal RNA (bases 40-216)
Source: RNAcentral